RNAcentral lists this ribosomal RNA (169 nucleotides) under uncultured Allobrachymonas sp. RNAcentral describes it as "uncultured Brachymonas sp. partial 16S ribosomal RNA". It matches the Rfam family "Bacterial small subunit ribosomal RNA", at positions 1214 to 1382 of the family's 1533-position model. The record is from RNAcentral. Lineage: Bacteria; Pseudomonadati; Pseudomonadota; Betaproteobacteria; Burkholderiales; Comamonadaceae.
CUACACACGUCAUACAAUGGCCGGUACAGAGGGUAGCCAACCCGCGAGGGGGAGCCAAUCCCACAAAGCCGGUCGUAGUCCGGAUCGCAGUCUGCAACUCGACUGCGUGAAGUCGGAAUCGCUAGUAAUCGCGGAUCAGCAUGUCGCGGUGAAUACGUUCCCGGGUCUU